Molecule: ribosomal RNA, 894 nt
Filed under: Exophiala dermatitidis
Lineage: Eukaryota; Fungi; Ascomycota; Eurotiomycetes; Chaetothyriales; Herpotrichiellaceae
Description: LSU rRNA
Rfam family: Eukaryotic large subunit ribosomal RNA
Source: RNAcentral
GCAUAUCAAUAAGCGGAGGAAAAGAACCAACCAGGGAUUGCCUCAGUAACGGCGAGUGAAGCGGCAACAGCUCAAAUUUGAAAUCUGGCCUCUUUGGGGUCCGAGUUGUAAUUUGUAGAGGAUGUUUCGGGCACCGCUCCGGUUUAAAUUUCUUGGAACAGAAUGUCAAAGAGGGUGAGAACCCCGUCUUGGACCGGCAGUAGGGCCCAUGUGAAACUCCUUCGACGAGUCGAGUUGUUUGGGAAUGCAGCUCAAAAUGGGUGGUAAAUUUCAUCUAAAGCUAAAUAUUGGCCAGAGACCGAUAGCGCACAAGUAGAGUGAUCGAAAGAUGAAAAGCACUUUGAAAAGAGAGUUAAACAGUACGUGAAAUUGUUGAAAGGGAAGCGCUUGCAACCAGACUUGCGCGCGGCGGUUCCCCCUUCCUUUUGGUUGGGUUAUUCCGCCGUGUCCAGGCCAACAUCGGUUCUGGGGGUCGGUUAAAGGCCUGGGGAAUGUAUCUACCCUUCGGGCGUAGACUUAUAGCCCCGGGUGUCAUGCGACCUCCCGGGACCGAGGAACGCGCUUCGGCUCGGAUGUUGGCGUAAUGGUUGUCAGCGACCCGUCUUGAAACACGGACCAAGGAGUCUAACAUCUAUGCGAGUGUUUGGGUGUCAAACCCGGAACGCGGAAUGAAAGUGAACGGAGGUAGGAAGCUUCGGCUGCACUAUCGACCGAUCCUGAUGUCUUCGGAUGGAUUUGAGUAAGAGCAUAGCUGUUGGGACCCGAAAGAUGGUGAACUAUGCCUGAAUAGGGUGAAGCCAGAGGAAACUCUGGUGGAGGCUCGCAGCGGUUCUGACGUGCAAAUCGAUCGUCAAAUUUGGGUAUAGGGGCGAAAGACUAAUCGAACCAUCUGGG